This 253-nucleotide ribosomal RNA is filed under the name uncultured bacterium. Its description in RNAcentral is "partial 16S ribosomal RNA". It matches the Rfam family "Bacterial small subunit ribosomal RNA", at positions 524 to 776 of the family's 1533-position model. The record is from RNAcentral.
UACGGAGGGUGCUAGCGUUGUUCGGAAUUACUGGGCGUAAAGCGCACGUAGGCGGCUAUUCAAGUCAGAGGUGAAAGCCCGGGGCUCAACCCCGGAACUGCCUUUGAAACUAGGUAGCUAGAAUCUUGGAGAGGUCAGUGGAAUUCCGAGUGUAGAGGUGAAAUUCGUAGAUAUUCGGAAGAACACCAGUGGCGAAGGCGACUGACUGGACAAGUAUUGACGCUGAGGUGCGAAAGCGUGGGGAGCAAACAGG